Molecule: long non-coding RNA, 952 nt
Organism: Ostrinia nubilalis (European corn borer)
Lineage: Eukaryota; Metazoa; Arthropoda; Insecta; Lepidoptera; Crambidae
Exons: 2
Source: RefSeq, a predicted model, not a curated record
GGCUAGUUGCCACUAUUUUUAUUAUUUGAUAAAACGGUUCAUUACGAUUAUAUUACACCAUAAAAAAAAUAUGAAUUUUUUUUGAAGUACCUAUCCUAAUAUAUUUUAAAUUUUAAAUUAUAUUUUAUCUAUACAGCCAUAAACGCCGUCCGCCAUGAUGGUCUAUUAAUUAUCUGUGCCGUGACGUCACUAUUCUUGUAAACAAUACGCGUGAAUAACAUAACCUUUUUAUCGGAAUUUAAAACCAUGGCUUCGAAAGGAUUACAUGAUAAAUAUAGUAAUUACCACUAUUGUAUCGUGCGGGAAUGUCACAAUACAUCAAUAAAGAACCCAGAGAACUUGUGGAUUAAAGUACCCAGUGAUGAGAAUAAUAUGCGGAACUCCUGGUUACAACUAGCUAAAAGAGAUCCCGUACCGUAACUCUGUCCAGUUGAACUGCAGUGUAUUUCUGUGAAGAUCACUCUAAUGUACGUACAAUAAACUAACAGCAGAUUAUUUUUUCAAUUUUCACUUUAAACGUUCAGAAUUGCCUAAGGAGGAUGCUGUACCAUUCUUCUGUUGAGGAUAAGAUUUGUGACAAAAUAAUGCAAGCAGAACAAUGUAAUCCUCACUUCAGAGAUAAGGCAGUGCAAGCUGAGCCAGAACAUGCAUCAUGCCAAGUAGUUUCAAAUUAUGAUCACAAGGUCACUCAAGUAUCAAUAAUGAAACACUAUAGAAGUAAGAAGGUGCAAUUUAGUGCAACUCUGAAAGAUGUCAUAUCUUCACCAAUAAAGUCUACGUCCCACCAAUCAACUACAACAUCUCCCAAGAAAUCUACAUUUAGAAGUAAAUUGUCAACAAGAUUAGUUUUUUCAAGUGAGGAAAAAUAUGACAGUGAUUAUCAUACACACCUUCUUCAGGAUAGCAAAUUUACAAGACUCUCAUUCAAUAAAUUAAAUGAUACAUACAUAAA